This 688-nucleotide long non-coding RNA is filed under the name Dasypus novemcinctus (nine-banded armadillo). Its description in RNAcentral is "lncRNA (ENSDNOG00000051067.1)". Lineage: Eukaryota; Metazoa; Chordata; Mammalia; Cingulata; Dasypodidae. The record is from RNAcentral.
GCGCAGAGGCUGUCACUCCUCCAGAGCAAGAGUACCUACCACCUGCGGGCGCAGCCCCUCCCCGGGCGGGACGGGCUGCGCUGGAGGCGCGUCUUCUCCCUCCGCCGCGGUGCAGGAGUCGCUCCGCGGCAGCUCCAAGCCCUCCGCGGAGUCGGGGGACCCAGGUAAAGAGAUUAUGUUUCCAAAAAUUGGGAAAGAGAAUUUUAGCUUUCUUCAACUGGGGAGAAGACAAGGGACUCAGCACUGGUGGCAGACACCAAGCUCUACAGGCACACAGUGAUCAUCUUGGGGACUUGGCUAUGGUACUGGAAGUCAGUGGGAAGAGGCAGGGCUCAGGGCUCUACAGCAGCAUCCUGGAGUCAACAGAACAAGAGCAAAGAUGACAACCACAGAGACCAAACUGGCCCAACCUCCUGAUUUUGACAUUACAGAAACUCAAGACUGUUGCAAGACCCCCUGAGUGAGAGAAGGGAGGCCCAAAAUUAUUGGUUGAAUUUUCCCUCUAGCCUCUGAACGGACUACAUUUGAUUUAAGAAAUAAGGGAAUUUUGUGAUAUAUAUUGCAUGCUGGCAUUGUGGAAUAAAAGUCAUGUCCAUUACAUGUGUUUUGUUUUGUUUCUACAGUUUUUUUAUUUAACCCCCUCCUUGUUUGCACUUGCUGUCUGCCCUUGCUGCUGCCAGCUCUCCAC